AGUCAAUGUAAAACUUAAUCUAUGAUCAUUAAUAUAUGUACUUAAUAAAUUUUUAUAUGGAUAUACAUCAUGUAUCAUAGUAUAUAUUGAGUUUCAAUGAGUAACUACAUCAAGUUUAAAUUUUUUAAAGUAUCUACCAUGAUCUAUACAUAUUUUUUAAAAUUUUUGAAGUCUUACUCUUGAAACAUGAAUCAAAGAAACUGUAUAUCCAAUUUUUACAAUAAUAUCUUGAACCACACCCAUGUC
Molecule: long non-coding RNA, 246 nt
Filed under: Elaeis guineensis (African oil palm)
Lineage: Eukaryota; Viridiplantae; Streptophyta; Magnoliopsida; Arecales; Arecaceae
Description: long non-coding RNA (EGUI_LNC024255)
Source: RNAcentral